ACAAUGUCAAGUCGACACGAGACAAGCCUUCGGGGUGAGUAAGUGGCGAACGGGUGAGACGUGGGUACCUGCCCCUCGCAGAGGGAUCACCGGGGGAAACCCCAGCUAAUACCUCGUACGCUUGCCGGGUCGCAUUGCUCGGCAAGGAAAGGUAGCUUCGGCCAUCCGGCGAGGGAUGGGCCCGCGGUCCAUUAGCUAGUUGGUGGGGUAAAGGCCCACCAAGGCGACGAUGGAUAGCUGGUCUGAGAGGAUGAUCAGCCACACUGGGACUGAGACACGGCCCAGACUCCUACGGGAGGCAGCAGUCGGGAAUCUUGCGCAAUGGGCGAAAGCCUGACGCAGCAACACCGUGUGGGCGACGAAGGCCUUCGGGUCGUAAAGCCCUGUUGUUGGGGGCGAAGGACGAAGGGUUAAUAGCCCCUAGUCUGACGGUACCCUUCGAGGAAGACCCGGCUAACUACGUGCCAGCACGCGGGGUAAUACGUAGGGGGCGAGCGUAGACCGGAAUUAUUGGGCGUAAAGAGCGUGUAGGC
RNAcentral lists this ribosomal RNA (533 nucleotides) under uncultured Rubrobacter sp. Its description in RNAcentral is "bacterial SSU rRNA". It matches the Rfam family "Bacterial small subunit ribosomal RNA", at positions 53 to 576 of the family's 1533-position model. The record is from RNAcentral. Lineage: Bacteria; Bacillati; Actinomycetota; Rubrobacteria; Rubrobacterales; Rubrobacteraceae.